UUAUUUUCUCCUCUUUAUCUCUAAACCCUAGGAAUAGAGUAGUGAGGAGAAGCUUGUGGAGCUGAGUUCUUCUUGCUGUUGGAGCUAAGAAGAAACCUGUAGAGCUAAAAAGGAGGUUGAUGAAGCCGAAGAACACUUUUGGGAAGCUUCAAGUUCAGGUAAACUUAGUAUUUAAUCCCUGGUUGAGGAGUAUUAGAGACUAUGAAGAUGAAUUGUGAAGUGCUAUUGGCAGACUUGGGUUUUGGGUAGUUGAUGCUGUCGAGUUGAAGAACUUAGCUGAACAAGCACCAAAUUCGGUGGCUGUGAGAGAAAGGCUUGGUGGAAUUGAGGGUCCUUGUUGUUCCAAGCUGAGAAGAAUUGGAAUGAGCUACGAAUUAGGAAUUAUAAAAGAAAAAGAAAGUAAAAUGCUGAAAUUCCUACUGUGAAGGAAUUUCCUACUAGUUGGAGCUGCCGAAUUGGAGGAUUGGGCUAUGUGAAGCACUAAGAAGGUGUGCUGUGAAGAGCAGUGUGAGGCUGCUGCUUGGUGACUUUGGUCACCCAGAUUGGAGGAAGCUAGGUGGAACUCCCUUGGUGUCCGAGCUGCAGAGAGGCUGAUAAAGCUUUACACUCAGGUCGGUGACGCACUAAUUACGGUAGAAGUCGUUUAAGCUCUAUUUGCACGAAGUCGUGAGAGCUCGUUAUUGACACAGUUCGAGACAUUAAUUCUAGCUGUUGGCAUCCCUACAGGUUCCAGCGCGAGCGGUGUGGCCGAGGAUCGCGCCAAGAGCCCAACAGCUUAGCUAGCAGACACCCGAGUUUAGUGGUAUACCAUUUUGGGUUUCAUGUUGUACAUAAUGAUGAACAGAGAGAUAUGUAAAUAGAAAUGUAAAUGAAAGUGUAAAUAACUAAAUGCUUUAGUUAUCCAGUUUUAUAGUUCAGUUUUAAA
Long non-coding RNA from Ananas comosus (pineapple), 925 nucleotides. RefSeq lists it as uncharacterized. Lineage: Eukaryota; Viridiplantae; Streptophyta; Magnoliopsida; Poales; Bromeliaceae. The transcript has 6 exons. The record is from RefSeq and is a predicted model, not a curated record.